CGCUCGGUGCGCAAGCGGCGUUGUUGCGCGCGCUCGAGUCGCGCGAGAUCCGGCGCGUGGGUGGUUCGGCGUCGAUCCCGGUCGAC
This 86-nucleotide transfer RNA is filed under the name Rohdeia mirabilis. RNAcentral describes it as "Planctomycetes bacterium Pla163 tRNA-Ser". The record is from RNAcentral. Lineage: Bacteria; Pseudomonadati; Planctomycetota; Planctomycetia.